UACGGGGGGGGCAAGCGUUGUUCGGAAUUACUGGGCGUAAAGGGCUCGUAGGCGGCCAACUAAGUCAGACGUGAAAUCCCUCGGCUUAACCGGGGAACUGCGUCUGAUACUGGAUGGCUAGAGGUUGGGAGAGGGAUGCGGAAUUCCAGGUGUAGCGGUGAAAUGCGUAGAUAUCUGGAGGAACACCGGUGGCGAAGGCGGCAUCCUGGACCAAUGCUGACGCUGAGGAGCGAAAGCCAGGGGAGCAAACGGG
RNAcentral lists this ribosomal RNA (253 nucleotides) under uncultured bacterium. RNAcentral's name for it is "partial 16S ribosomal RNA". It matches the Rfam family "Bacterial small subunit ribosomal RNA", at positions 524 to 776 of the family's 1533-position model. The record is from RNAcentral.